RNAcentral lists this ribosomal RNA (1491 nucleotides) under Triticum aestivum (bread wheat). RNAcentral's name for it is "partial small subunit ribosomal RNA". Lineage: Eukaryota; Viridiplantae; Streptophyta; Magnoliopsida; Poales; Poaceae. The record is from RNAcentral.
AUGGAGUCGCCGCCGCCCAAGCGCAACUUCGGCGACGGCGGCGAGGACGGAAUCAGCGCGCUCCCCGACCACCUCCUCCUCGACAUCCUCGAGCGCCUCGACCUGCGCGAGGCGGUCCGCGCCGGCGCGCUCUCCACGCGCUGGCGGCACCUCCCCGGCCACCUCUCGCGCGUGCGCCUCGACGUCGCUCACUUCCGCGGCGCCACGCCGCUCGAGGUCAUGGACGCGUUCACGGGCGCGGCGCGGGCCUUGCUGACUCGGGUGCCUCCCGCCGAGGGUGGUCCCCUCAAGGUGCUCGUCCUGAGCUUCUACACGUCUUCCCCUCACCUGAGCUCCAUAGGCCGCCUCAUCGAGGACAUUGUGAGCUUGGGCCACACCCAAUGCCUUGAGUUUUGCAUAUCCCCGCCGGGCACUAACCCGCUGGGCAGCAACAUUGAGAUUGGGCAGGAGUUCAUGGCCUUCUCCCGCGCCUACCCAGUUGCCUUCUCGUGGCUCACGACGCUUACGCUCGAAUAUCAUGCUUUUGGAAAUUCCGACAUCACUGACCUCAUUAGCGCUUGCGGCAGGCUCAGGCACCUCAGCUUGAGAUUCUGCAGACUGCUUGAUCUGCACUCCACGCUCAGGAUUGAUGUGCCGUGCUCUGAGCUCCAGGAGCUUGAGUUCAUCGGCCUUUUGUGCACACGCAUCGAGCUCGUCUCUGUCCCCAAGCUUAGACAAGUGGAGUGCAAAUGUUGGCUCUUCAAUAACCCUCCAGUGCGCUUUGGCUACGUUCCUGAGCUUCGCGGUUUAGUACUCGCUUCUAAAGCCAAGGCAUGGCAAGAGCCAUUCGCGCUCAGCGAAUGCUUGUCAACGAGUGCUGGUGCCAGGAACCUGUCAACACUGACUCUCUGUUUUGGGUACCAAAUGGUAAACUUAAUUAAUUUCUGCGCACCACUUAAAUAUAAAUCUUCUGCAUCUUCAUACCAUGUGUUCUUCUCUACCAGUUUCAGUUGUGCAUGUAUGUUCUUGCUGCAGAUUUGGAUUCAGCCAGAACCUCCGAAGCAGCGCAUUGCUAUAUUCAGAAACCUGACCUCUGUGCGUCUUUUCGGUAUCUUCUGUGAGUGUGAUCUGAGCUGGACUCUGUUUAUCCUUGAGGCUGCACCUGCCCUACAUGAUUUGGCAUUGUCUCGACAUUCAUGUGUCAAGACGCCCGAGAACAGCGCCGAGAAGACCAACGUGGUGUGGGAGCCAUCCAAGGAUUUGAAGCACCCGAACUUGAAGGUGUUGCAGAUCUUCGGGUGCGGGGAUGAAGACAAGGUGACAAACUAUAUAAGGCUUGUCAUGGAACGAGCUGUGGGGCUUUUGAUAAUUCGGUUGUAUGGUGAAAACCCAUGCACAUACUGCGAUGCUGGCAACCUUGAAAGAUCCCAGGCGGAAAAGGCUGGCAGGCGUCGGAUUAAGGAGCAACUCACACAUGGAUCAUCCUCAUCUGUGGAGAUAAUUAUCUGUUGA